Molecule: non-coding RNA, 53 nt
Organism: Danio rerio (zebrafish)
Lineage: Eukaryota; Metazoa; Chordata; Actinopteri; Cypriniformes; Danionidae
Source: Rfam
UGUCCUCAUUUUUUAAGUCGCUUUGGAUAAAAGCGUCUGCUAAAUGACUAAAA